RNAcentral lists this non-coding RNA (27 nucleotides) under Homo sapiens (human). Lineage: Eukaryota; Metazoa; Chordata; Mammalia; Primates; Hominidae. The record is from RNAcentral.
UGCACUGAAAUUGCUUCAUGGUCCUUC